CAGUGGGGAAUAUUGGACAAUGGGCGCAAGCCUGAUCCAGCAAUGCCGCGUGUGUGAAGAAGGCCUUCGGGUUGUAAAGCACUUUUAUCGGGAGCGAAAUACCAUUGGCUAAUAACCGGUGGGGCUGACGGUACCCGAGGAAUAAGCACCGGCUAACUUCGUGCCAGCAGCCGCGGUAAUACGAAGGGUGCAAGCGUUAAUCGGAAUUACUGGGCGUAAAGGGUGCGUAGGCGGUUUGUUAAGUCUGUCGUGAAAUCCCCGGGCUCAACCUGGGAAUGGCGAUGGAAACUGGCAGGCUAGAGUGUGUCAGAGGAUGGUGGAAUUCCCGGUGUAGCGGUGAAAUGCGUAGAGAUCGGGAGGAACACCAGUGGCGAAGGCGGCCAUCUGGGACAACACUGACGCUGAAGCACGAAAGCGUGGGGAGCAAACAGGAUUAGAUACCCUGGUAGUCCACGCCCUAAACGAUGCGAACUGGAUGUUGGUCUCAACUCGGAGAUCAGUGUCGAAGCUAACGCGUUAAGUCGCCGCCUGGGAGUAGUGCAAGGGG
This 547-nucleotide ribosomal RNA is filed under the name uncultured bacterium. Its description in RNAcentral is "bacterial SSU rRNA". It matches the Rfam family "Bacterial small subunit ribosomal RNA", at positions 352 to 873 of the family's 1533-position model. The record is from RNAcentral.